Osmia bicornis bicornis is the source of this 747-nucleotide long non-coding RNA. RefSeq lists it as uncharacterized. The record is from RefSeq and is a predicted model, not a curated record. The transcript is spliced from 3 exons. NCBI's taxonomy places the organism in Eukaryota, Metazoa, Arthropoda, Insecta, Hymenoptera, Megachilidae.
UGCAGCAGUUCCGUCACCUGCUGACGUAAUUGGAGCGCCAGUACGCGAUCAUCCGCCCCGAAAAGUGCAUCGUCCACGUAAAUGCAGUCAUUUAAGAUUGGGACAGCCAACGGGAAAUUAGUUCCUUCGUCCAAAGCGAGCUGCUUAAUUACGCGAUUAGCGAGAAAGGGAGCUGGCGCCGUACCAUAAGUGACGGAGCUGUUUUCUUCACCGCGCGAAGACGCCAACGAUUCUAAGGUGCGAAUACGUACAUUUAUAAACGCAUCCCAAUCAGAGAGGGAUGGAUACAACUCGUCUUCGCCCAUACGCAUCUCCCACUCCCGAUGGGACUCUUUAUCCAGCUUACGGACAAAAUGAAAAAUGAGCACAUCGUCCCAGUAUUCGACCGGACGCGAUAAAUUCUUUAAUGCCGUUAAAGCGGCGCGAGAUCUAUCACGUAAGCUUCUUAGAUCGUUUAAAACGGCAGAUCCGAUCGGGGGUAAAGCUGCCGUCAGAGCGUCGAGGGCAGAGAGGAAGGCCGCUUCCGUAUUGCCGAAGAUGUCCUCGGAGAAGUAGGAAUUUGUCCUGGUCUCCUCCUCAGUUGCAGCAACCUCAAUCUGGAUGUGCGUGGCUUGGAAUUUGUUCCAGUAGUCCUUCAGCAAAGAGAGACGUCCGCGAAUCACAGCAGGGGUGUGAUUAGCCUUCCCCAGUUUUUUAAAAUUGCUGAGUGCAUUACUUAUUAAACGUGCGUGCACUUUGUUUUCACGG